Long non-coding RNA from Helianthus annuus (common sunflower), 624 nucleotides. RefSeq lists it as uncharacterized. The record is from RefSeq and is a predicted model, not a curated record. The transcript is spliced from 5 exons. Lineage: Eukaryota; Viridiplantae; Streptophyta; Magnoliopsida; Asterales; Asteraceae.
GCCUCCAUCUCCAUUCUCCAUCUCCAUUCCAAGCAACUGGUCUUCUCUUCAAAAUGUUUUCGUUUUAUGAAUGGUGAGAAGACAUAAAUUAAUUGAAACCCUAGAGCAUCUUCUCCUUCACAUUUCCUACCGAACAAGAUCAAUUGGUUGGAUAUUUAUCAAUCUUAUAAUACUAAUCUAAUCAAUGUAUCAAAACUUUGCAAUCAAGAGAUCAACAAGAGAUUCACGGUUUACAUGGAAUUUGGUUUUAAUGAUUUAGGCUGCAAGUUUUGCUCGAACAAACAUCGACCCAUCUACGUGAGAAGACAAAAAGAACCCUGGUGAAUCACGGAUUCCGGCUCAGGUUUACAUGGAAUUUGGUUUUAAUGAUUUAGGCUGCAAGUUUUGCUCGAACAAACAUCGACCCAUCUACGUGAGAAGACAAAAAGAACCCUGGUGAAUCACGGAUUCCGGCUCAGGCCUGAGCCUCAAUGGAAUCGUACAACCGUCGUUGCAGUUGUUGUUUUUGUGUUUGUAGGUUCUUUCGGCUCCAUUGAUGCUUUCUUGAUGGGUUUGAUUUGUAGACUGGUGCGACAUAUUAGCCAAGAAGAUGUUAUUUCUUUACUCAUUGAUGAUGCACAAAUG